UUUAAUUCGAAGCAACGCGAAGAACCUUACCAAGUCUUGACAUCCUUUGACCACUCUAGAGAUAGAGCUUUCCCUUCGGGGACAAAGUGACAGGUGGUGCAUGGUUGUCGUCAGCUCGUGUCGUGAGAUGUUGGGUUAAGUCCCGCAACGAGCGCAACCCUUAUUACUAGUUGCCAGCAUUGAGUUGGGCACUCUAGUGAGACUGCCGGUGACAAACCGGAGGAAGGUGGGGAUGACGUCAAAUCAUCAUGCCCCUUAUGACUUGGGCUACACACGUGCUACAAUGGAUGGUACAACGAGCAGCGAACUCGCGAGGGUAAGCGAAUCUCUUAAAGCCAUUCUCAGUUCGGAUUGUAGGCUGCAACUCGCCUACAUGAAGCCGGAAUCGCUAGUAAUCGCGGAUCAGCACGCCG
RNAcentral lists this ribosomal RNA (413 nucleotides) under uncultured Bacillota bacterium. RNAcentral describes it as "bacterial SSU rRNA". It matches the Rfam family "Bacterial small subunit ribosomal RNA", at positions 945 to 1359 of the family's 1533-position model. The record is from RNAcentral. Lineage: Bacteria; Bacillati; Bacillota.